Molecule: ribosomal RNA, 256 nt
Filed under: uncultured bacterium
Lineage: Bacteria
Description: partial 16S ribosomal RNA
Rfam family: Bacterial small subunit ribosomal RNA
Source: RNAcentral
UACGUAGGGGGCAAGCGUUGUCCGGAAUUAUUGGGCGUAAAGCGCACGUAGGCGGUUCGUUAAGUCGGAUGUGAAAGCCCUCGGCUCAACUGAGGAAGUGCACCCGAAACUGGCGAGCUUGAGUACGAAAAGAGGAUCGCGGAAUUCCCCGGUGUAGAGGUGAAAUUCGCAGAUAUCGGGAAGAACACCCGUGGCGAAGGCGGCACUCUGGGACGGUACUGACGCUGAGACGCGAAAAGCGUGGGGAGCGAACAGG